Podarcis lilfordi (Lilford's wall lizard) is the source of this 206-nucleotide non-coding RNA. Lineage: Eukaryota; Metazoa; Chordata; Lepidosauria; Squamata; Lacertidae. The record is from the annotation of a GenBank genome assembly.
GAAGUCUCUCAGCCCCACUCACCUCACUUGUUGUGGGGGAGGAAGGGAAAGGAGAAUGUUAGCCGCUUUGAGACUCCUUAAAGAAGAGUUUGGAUUUGAUAUCCCACCUUUCACUCCCUUUAAGGAGUCUCAAAGCGGCUAACAUUCUCCUUCCCUUCCUCCCCCACAACAAACACUCUGUGAGGUGAGUGGGGCUGAGAGACUUC